RNAcentral lists this transfer RNA (65 nucleotides) under Dipodomys ordii (Ord's kangaroo rat). It matches the Rfam family "tRNA". Rfam says of the family: Transfer RNA (tRNA) molecules are approximately 80 nucleotides in length. Their secondary structure includes four short double-helical elements and three loops (D, anti-codon, and T loops). The record is from Rfam by way of RNAcentral. Lineage: Eukaryota; Metazoa; Chordata; Mammalia; Rodentia; Heteromyidae.
GGUGGUUCAGUGGUAGAGCACUAGCCUUGGAUGCCUGAGGCCCUGGGUUCGAUUCCUCAGCACCA